Molecule: long non-coding RNA, 1055 nt
Organism: Notolabrus celidotus (New Zealand spotty)
Lineage: Eukaryota; Metazoa; Chordata; Actinopteri; Labriformes; Labridae
Exons: 2
Source: RefSeq, a predicted model, not a curated record
UGUGACACUACCUGUGUUUAUGGGAUGAGAAAUAAACAGGAGCUCACUGUGAGGACAAAGAGGGAGGAGGAUUAUGUGCAUCACUUCAUUGACCCCUCCUCGACCUGACACACACAGCCACGGAGGAAAGAGGCGGAAAACAUGGAGAUCUGACCGACCUGGGGUGCACGUCUCCUGACAAGAUUAAGACACCUCAAUGGAUAAGAUCCAGCGUGCCAUCCUGCUGUUGCUGCUGCCGCCGCCGGUGCUGGGGCUUUUGAAGGUUCAAUUGAAAUUGCCUCGGUGAGCUGAUAAACAGAGUUUUUGGCAGGCAAUGCGAGUGUGCAGGGCAUAAUCUCUCACAGCGGGGAUGCGCUUGAGUGCUGGACAGUGAGAAAUUCGAUUAACGCCUCCUCCGGGGUCUUCCUCUUCCCCCUGAACCCGUCCCCCACUGCAAAGGGUUGGAUCCAGCUCUGGAUAUGAACCUCCUCAACCGCUACUGGCUAAUGAUAAAUGUUCCCUGGCCUGAAAACCAUCUGCUGGUGACAAGGCCUUUAAAGCAAACGCCGUGCUGGCAGAGACGGCUGACAGGCUGGCUGGUUGCUGAAUGCUAGUGUGUUUUCAUCGGUUUAUAAAUCUGUGUUUUGACAUUCUUUACACCUGACAAUAACAUGUGCCCAGGGUAAUCAUACAGCAGUCAGAUUCUACAAACUAAAAAUGCAUUAAUUCAAGGUGUUAAUGCUAGGCCGAUGCACGAAAAAGCAGAUCAACCAAACUGCUCUCUGGGAGGCGAGCAGAGACGCGCUUUACCACCGGAGCGUGAGUUCAACACGUCUCCGGUGCCUCACACUGAGAUACACAGACACAAAUUAACUUUUACGCAUGAAUCCAGACGGGUGUUUGCAAGCAGCAGACAGCUCCUGCACUGACUUUACACCUUGCUGGUUUCUCUCUUCAACUUCUGUUUUUAACUUUUCUCUGAUCACUGCUGGGUCUGUCCUUACAAACACUGUAUCUCUGAUCGCAGAGGAGAUCCAAAGGUUGUAUCCAAACUAAAUGAAACUGUGGAAAGUAAA